ACUUAAUGGUUCGGGAAUUGCAUGAGUUUGUCAUUGAACCUUUUCCAUACCUCAUAUAAGGGCUCACCACUAAGUUGAUGAAAAUUUAUUAUUGUGUUUCUUAUUU
RNAcentral lists this small nucleolar RNA (106 nucleotides) under Capsicum annuum. RNAcentral's name for it is "Plant small nucleolar RNA R71". It matches the Rfam family "Plant small nucleolar RNA R71". From Rfam's summary of the family: R71 is a member of the C/D box family of snoRNAs containing the C (UGAUGA) and D (CUGA) box motifs. The record is from Rfam by way of RNAcentral. Lineage: Eukaryota; Viridiplantae; Streptophyta; Magnoliopsida; Solanales; Solanaceae.